RNAcentral lists this long non-coding RNA (2866 nucleotides) under Hordeum vulgare. RNAcentral describes it as "long non-coding RNA (HVUL_LNC003035)". The record is from RNAcentral. Lineage: Eukaryota; Viridiplantae; Streptophyta; Magnoliopsida; Poales; Poaceae.
CCUAAUCACCCACACACCAAUGCUAGCUUUCUCAACAGACCCAUAGCAUUCGUACUAAGACUAGGAGUAUCUCCUAUUCACAUCAAGCACAGCCUGUAUGAUGUACCGCCACCUGCUUAAAUUUUUUGACCCCGUGGACAGAUCAAGGGGCUGAAGUACCGGUAAAAUGAUUCAAGGCAUGCGAUAAAUACGUUGCAUUAUUGCAAGACAUUAAUGCAAAACUAUCCCCAGUGCUAUCCAAUCACAUUAUGCAGCACGGCAUGAUCCUUUGCAUCCACCGGGACAAGCUAGUUGAGACUUAUCAUGUAUCCUCACUUCGAAAUAGAAGUAAUCAUGAUCGAAGCUGUGCUCAUGGCAUUACUGAAUUCAUUUGACACGCACAACAGCAGUAUACAAUUCAUCCAUUUUAAAGUUGUCACCUGAGCUCAACCUUUGAGGAACACCCAAACAGGCAAUCCGUCCGGCUCAGCGAAGGUUUCGCGGAAAGCUCUCAACUCAGAGACUCCGGUGCCGAUCCUGCAUCUGCAUCGUGCAAUGAAAAAGGUUUGUCAUCCAUUGUUUACAGAUGCUAAAAAAACUUAAAUCUCGCAGCGCUUUCCCACUAAUCGGCAUCGCAGAAAGACACAUUUUAUUUAUUCAAGUUAAUGCCCUUGUAAAGUGUCAGAUUUAUGUUCUUCAACCUCCAGCAAAUGACUGCGCAGCAGGUUGCUUCGUUUACCACUUUGAGCGAGCACAUGGGAAUGAUCCGACAACAAGAACAUCACCGAUCUAUAUAUCUUCAUGAAACCCUAACACCUUAGGCCUCGUUUGAUAGGAAGGGAUUGAGGGGGUUUUGAGGGGAUUAUCCCCGCGUGGGCCGAAAACCUCCGAAUUCCCUCUUAGCCCAUUUGGUGGACAGGGUUUCGCCGGGCUAGCGAUCCCCGAUCCACGAAAAACACCCCAACCCACGCGGUUUAGAGCCCUCGAGGGGGUGCUCGUGGAAUUGGGAGGAACGAUUCCAACGUAUCCUCGUCAACCCGCCGCCGUCGCCCGACUCCUCCUCAACCCUGCAGCCGUCUCCUCCUUAACACCUCGCGUCCCGACGCCGGCGAACUCCUUCGGCCAACAGGAUCUCCGGUGGUAAGUCAUCGCCGCCCCUCACCUCCCUCCCCCCCCCAUUCCCUCCCUCUCCCGUGGUUAGUCUUCGCCAUGGAUGCACGCCCUCCGUCCACCUCGUCCUUUCCCUCGCACGGAAUCCAUGGUCACUGGCCUACCUCCACCGGCCACCACGGCAGCUGGCCCGCGCCCCCGACGGCCUGCGCCGCACCUUGAAGAGGGCACCAGAUCUGAGGCACUGCCAAACGAGGCUUGAUGAUCUGGUGUGACCUUGAGCAGAUGUGAUUCAGAGAGGAUGUUGUCGAAGGCCUCCAAAGCUGUCCAAUAUUCUACUUUGCUACCUAGCUAGUGUUGCGAUACUAUGUAUACGUACCUCAUGAGCAUCUGUAGAUAUUCUGAAUUUCUGAUACAUGUUUAUACUUACGAUUCUUUACUUUGAUUAAUGUAUGGGCCUAAAAUCUUAUUGUUCUCUAGCUGAAUUUUACACCUGAAUCCCUUUGUAUGAAUCUCUGUGUACCAAAUAGAAAGGAUAUGUGAAAGGUUUGGUGAUUGAGAGGAUUUGAGAGGAUUGUGUGAGAGGAAGGGAUUCACCCAAUCCUCUUAAACACCCCCCUCCACAAACCUCCCCAAUCUCUUCCUGCCAAACAAGGCCUAAUGUAGUUCUCCCCUGGAAUAUUUCUCCCCCUCUGGGUAAGCUUAUUUACCCCCCUUUGCAUAAGCAUAAGCUUUGAUAUUUCUUCCCCUUUGGCAUUAAUUUCCAAAAAGGGUUAGAGGGUAAGCGUUCCUUGAGUGUAAGGGAUCCUUGAUGUUUCUCCCUUUUUGAAAAAAAGUUAAGAUUAAGACAAAGAACUCAAGUAGUAUCAAAAUUCGGAGGCUCCGAGGCAAAUUGGAUCGGUAGAACCGAAAGUGAUCUUAGGCCUCUGGGAUAAAUCGGUACAGCCGAAGAAGUUUAUGUUGCUGGUGCCGAAGAAGCUCUUGGUAGUAUAUCCGCUGAGUUGGUGAGACCGAUUUUCCGAGUUCAAAGGGACCGAGUUGCAAAUAGAAACUUAACUACUUGACAAUAUGGGGUUUCUUGUCAAACAAAAUCCUUCUUGUCCAUUUUGACUGUGAAGUCUUUCAGAAAUUUUGGCCAAGGUUCUUAGAAAAUAUUCAAAAGAUUUUCAAAGAAAUUUUAAGAAGAUUUGCAAUGAAUUAUCACAACUAGAUGAAGAUUGAAUGAUUCCAAGAAAGCAUGCAAAUAAAAUAUGAACCAUGCAAGAAAUUUCAUCUAGAUGUUGGUCGGUGACUAGGUCACCUAUAUUAGAGUAUAUCGACUUUAGGAGCCAAGCAAUAAUGGUGGGUCAUAGGUCAUACUCAUCAUUAAGCUCAAAAUGGGGUUACCAUUUUUCGUUAAGAAUUUUAAUGUCUUCAUAUCACUCGAGUUGCUUUAUCUCAUGACUUGAAGUAAAACUUUAUCAAGGAUAUGAGUACAUACCUUUGAAAGACGUAGAUGACGUAUCAUGUAGGUGAACUUGUUGUGGAUGCUAAAUGUCGAUGAAGUUCAUCUUGAAUUGUGAGCUAUCCUUGUGGUUUUGGUUCACUUUUCACCUACAUGGGUUAGUCAUGCAAGGAAGAAGAUAAUAUAUUUAAAUGACAAGAGUGAGUUUUAUUCAAAAAAUAGUUGUCAAGGAUAUGAUUUGAGUUAAAUGACAAGAGUGAGUUUUAUUCAACAAAUAGUUGCCAAGAUAUAAGAUAGUAUCGUAUCUAUAGCAUCAUGGAAUAGAAGUGAGCU